GGUUCUGAUUUAUCAGAACAGUGGCGAACGGGUGAGUAACACGUAAGUAACCUACCCUCAAGUAGGGGACAACUCUGAGAAAUCGGAGCUAAUACCGUAUGUGGUGCUGGAGGUAAGGCUCCAGUACUAAAGCCUUAGGGUGCUUGGGGAGGGGCUUGCGUCCGAUUAGCUUGUUGGUAGAGUAAUGGUUUACCAAGGCAAUUAUCGGUAGCUGGUCUGAGAGGAUGGUCAGCCACACUGGGACUGAGACACGGCCCAGACUCCUACGGGAGGCAGCAGCAAGGAAUAUUGUGCAAUGGGCGAAAGCCUGACACAGCGACGCCGCGUGGGGGAUGAAGGCUUUCGGGUCGUAAACCCCUUUUCUCAGGGAGGAAUAAUGACAGUACCUGAGGAAUAAGUCAUGGCUAACUACGUGCCAGCAGCCGCGGUAAAACGUAGGUGGCGAGCGUUAUCCGGAUUUACUGGGCGUAAAGAGGGCGCCGGCGGCUUUUCAAGUCGGAUGUAAAAUC
Molecule: ribosomal RNA, 509 nt
Filed under: uncultured Paenibacillaceae bacterium
Lineage: Bacteria; Bacillati; Bacillota; Bacilli; Caryophanales; Paenibacillaceae
Description: bacterial SSU rRNA
Rfam family: Bacterial small subunit ribosomal RNA
Source: RNAcentral